CACUUUCUUGUGGAUUGGUAGCAUUUCAUCUCAUAAGGAAUCAAUAUCUCGUGUAGUGAAACAUCUUCAUCGGCUUUUAUAACGUUUAUAGCUUUUACAUGGUCAGAUGGUGCCCUGGCUGUCACACCCACACAAAUAGUCUGUGAUUAUUAAUAUGAACCCUGAUUUGUACAUUUCUUGCCACCAGGAUUUCAUUUAUCAUGCCAUUUUUUCCCCGGAUAUGUGGCAUUCUACUUCACAAGGGAUUAAGGAUAAUUGGCAUCGAUGAACCAUCGGAGCACAUGGCAUGCAUCGAGGAUGGCGCUAUGAGUUGAAACACUCAAGCUCACAUAAAUCAACUCGGAGGCAACAAUGGGACCAUACACCUGGAGCAUGCAGGCCACAUCCGUGGUCGAGACACGUGCCCACUCUUCCAUGCACGUACAUGGCAUGCGAGUAUACGGGACGUCCAGUGGUGCCUCUCAAGAUCUUUUGGACUCUUGCCUUGCGCGCAGAUUAACUGCCUCUGUUGCUCGCCUUUUACAUCCUUCUCAAAUAACUCAAAGCUUCACCUCAAUUCUCUUUUUAUCCGCAUAUAAUUCCGGAUCGCACCACCCAUGGCUGUUUGUUGGCCACUUUCUUCGCGCCUUCGGUGCGAGUCUGUCCUGGCAACACCCCAGAUUCCCUCUUCCCUUUCUCUUUGUUGGGUAGGCAAAUUCCCUCUUCCAUUCAAUAUGUAUUAGACGUCAAGACAUAUUCUCUUUCAAUGUAAAUCACAAUCGAUGGGCAGCGUAUUUUCCCAUCAUCGACACUGUUGAAGUUGAUGCUGAUGUUGACAUGGAUAAAGCUGGGAAAAUGCUCAUUGGAGGAAACCAGAUUGGAACGCUCGGUUCAUUGGUUUAAAUUUUGAUUGCUUUACUUAUUUGUGACUCGGAGCAGACUACAGGCUCCUGGAUAUAAGCUGACAACAGACACUCUGUAGCAUGCUGCUGUAACACCACUCAAAAUCAAGAUAAGAGCUGGAAUCCAACAUAGAAAUGCAAGCCAAAUCUCUGAAAGUCGUGCCCAAUGCAGUGAUAAACCUACAUGCAAGAAAGAAAGAAAGAAAUUUAAAACUCGUAAAUGAUUUGAUAGAGAAAUCUAUGUUCUCCACCUUAGAGAGAUUCCUAUAUGAUGGCUUAAAUUAUAUUCAAAGUUCUAGAAUCUCAAAAGAAAGUCGCACUACCAUC
Molecule: long non-coding RNA, 1208 nt
Filed under: Elaeis guineensis (African oil palm)
Lineage: Eukaryota; Viridiplantae; Streptophyta; Magnoliopsida; Arecales; Arecaceae
Description: long non-coding RNA (EGUI_LNC075480)
Source: RNAcentral